RNAcentral lists this ribosomal RNA (468 nucleotides) under uncultured bacterium. Its description in RNAcentral is "partial 16S ribosomal RNA". It matches the Rfam family "Bacterial small subunit ribosomal RNA", at positions 28 to 507 of the family's 1533-position model. The record is from RNAcentral.
GACGAACGCUGGCGGCGUGCUUAGCACAUGCAAGUCGAACGGAAAGGCCCUGCUUUUGUGGGUUGCUCGAGUGGCGAACGGGUGAGUAACACGUGAGUAACCUGCCCUUGUCUUUGGGAUAACUUCAGGAAACUCGGGCUAAUACCGGAUAGGAUCUCCUGCUGCAUGGUGGUGGUUGGAAAGUUUCGGCGGUUGGGGAUGGACUCGCGGCUUAUCAGCUUGUUUGUGUGGUAGUGGCUUACCAAGGCUUUGACGGGUAGCCGGCCUGAGAGGGUGACCGGCCACAUUGGGACUGAGAGACGGACCAGACUCCAACGGGAGGCAGCAGUGGGGAAUAUUGCACAACGGGCGGAAGCCAGAGGCGGAAACGCCGCGUGCGGGAUGACGGCCUUCGGGUUGUAAACAGAUUUCGCCUGUGACGAAGCGUGAGUGACGGUAAUGGGUAAAGAAGCACCGGCUAACUACGUG